AUGAAAUAGAUGAACUGUCGUCUUUUUCUUACAAAACCGCGCGAUCAUGUUGAUUCCGGUAAAGCGCUAGAAUCAGUCAUGCGCUGGCUUUGUCGAAGGCUGGACUGUUUUUAUUUUUUUUUAAAGUGACACAAAGCUAAAUAAGCCGGUGUAUUACAUACAGCAUGGCGUCUUCUUCUAGGGCACGUAAAAUAUUAGGCUUAGUCGAAAAUAAUUUAUCAUCCGAUGACAACAAUAAAGUAGCUGUCAAUGAAAAACCCCAAUACAUCAAUAACCAAAGUUUUAAUAGUCUGGUGCCCUGUUAUGAUAGUGAUAUGACUAUGAGCGACAACGAAAAUACGACACGUGAUAUGAACUCUCCUAGCAAAAUAGUGGCCACAAACAUUCUGGGAGUUACUUUGCCUUCAUCUUCAUCCAGCUCCAGCAGCUCAUCAUCUGACUCGUCCUCGUCCAGUUCUGGUUCGAAUUCAGAGACCAAAAGCUUGCAUGAAACAAACCCCUUGCCUAAUGUUUCAUGUACAGAUGAAGAAAAUGACGUUAUCGAAAAUACUCCCCCAGAGCAACUGAACAAGAGUAGGCAG
This is a long non-coding RNA of Plodia interpunctella (Indianmeal moth), 581 nucleotides long. RefSeq lists it as uncharacterized. The transcript has 3 exons. Lineage: Eukaryota; Metazoa; Arthropoda; Insecta; Lepidoptera; Pyralidae. The record is from RefSeq and is a predicted model, not a curated record.